This 1197-nucleotide unclassified non-coding RNA is filed under the name Zea mays. RNAcentral's name for it is "misc RNA Zm00001eb372820". Lineage: Eukaryota; Viridiplantae; Streptophyta; Magnoliopsida; Poales; Poaceae. The record is from RNAcentral.
ACGUCGCUUCAUCUAGUCCCAGCACUACUCACUCACUUCCAGUCUCUAGAGCCAUCGAGAUCGUAGCUGAGCGAGUUAGUAUUCAUGGCAGGAGGCACGCUGCAGGACAGAUCGGAGGCCGAGGACGUGCGCGUGGGCGUGGACCGUUUCCCGGAGCGGCAGCCCAUCGGCACGGCGGCGGACGACCUGGGCCGCGACUACAGCGAGCCCCCGGCGGCGCCGCUGUUCGAGGCGUCGGAGCUCUCCUCGUGGUCCUUCUACCGCGCCGGCAUCGCCGAGUUCGUGGCCACGUUCCUCUUCCUCUACGUGACCGUGCUGACGGUGAUGGGCGUGAGCAAGUCCCCCUCCAAGUGCGGCACCGUGGGCAUCCAGGGCAUCGCGUGGGCGUUCGGCGGCAUGAUCUUCGCGCUCGUGUACUGCACCGCGGGCGUGUCGGGCGGCCACAUCAACCCGGCCGUCACGUUCGGCCUCCUCCUCGCCCGGAAGCUGUCGCUGACGCGGGCGGUCUACUACGUGGUGAUGCAGUGCCUGGGCGCCGUCUGCGGCGCCGGCGUCGUGAAGGCGUUCGGCAGCGCGCUGUACGAGUCCGCGGGCGGCGGCGCCAACGCCGUCAGCCCCGGGUACACCAAGGGCGACGGCCUCGGCGCCGAGGUCGUGGGCACGUUCGUGCUCGUGUACACCGUCUUCUCCGCCACCGACGCCAAGCGCACCGCCAGGGACUCCCACGUCCCCGCGCUGGCCCCGCUGCCCAUCGGCUUCGCCGUAUUCCUGGUGCACCUCGCCACCAUCCCCAUCACCGGCACCGGCAUCAACCCCGCCAGGAGCCUCGGCGCCGCCAUCAUCUACGACAACCCGCACGGGUGGCACGGCCACUGGAUCUUCUGGGUGGGCCCGUUCGCCGGAGCGGCGCUUGCGGCGGUGUACCACCAGGUCGUCCUCAGGGCCAUCCCCUUCAAGUCCAGCGCUCACUACUAGUGUUGCUUGCCUUGCCGUCAUACACGGAGUUCUGCUGCCACAUCGGCCGCUCAAUGGACCAUCACUCCGCGAAUGUAUGAUGUGUGUAACUCGAAUGUGUGGUUAAUUUUCGUUUUCUUACGUGUUUGCAUCCACGGAAUGUGUCAUCAGUGUACAAAUCAACUGUAUGUGGCUGUACGUGUCCCAAUUAUGAUAAUGCUAAUAAGGCCAUAAUAUACCAAG